AACAGGAUUAGAUACCCUGGUAGUCCACGCCGUAAACGAUGUCGACUAGCCGUUGGGCUCCUUGAGAGCUUUGUGGCGCAGUUAACGCGAUAAGUCGACCGCCUGGGGAGUACGGCCGCAAGGUUAAAACUCAAAUGAAUUGACGGGGGCCCGCACAAGCGGUGGAGCAUGUGGUUUAAUUCGAUGCAACGCGAAGAACCUUACCUACCCUUGACAUCGUGCGAACUUUCCAGAGAUGGAUUGGUGCCUUCGGGAACGCACAGACAGGUGCUGCAUGGCUGUCGUCAGCUCGUGUUGUGAAAUGUUGGGUUAAGUCCCGUAACGAGCGCAACCCUUGUCCUUAUUUGCCAGCGAGUCAUGUCGGGAACUCUAGGGAGACUGCCGGUGACAAACCGGAGGAAGGUGGGGACGACGUCAAGUCAUCAUGGCCCUUACGGGUAGGGCUACACACGUGCUACAAUGGCCGGUACAAAGGGUUGCGAAGCCGCGAGGUGGAGCUAAUCCCGAAAAGCUGGUCUCAGUCCGGAUCGGAGUCUGCAACUCGACUCCGUGAAGUCGGAAUCGCUAGUAAUCGUGAAUCAGAAUGUCACGGUGAAUACGUUCCCGGGCCUUGUACACACCGCCCGUCACACCAUGGGAGUGGACUGCACCAGAAGUGGUUAGCCUAACUUCGGAGGGCGAUCACCACGGUGUGGUUCAUGACUGGGGUGAAGUCGUAACAAGGUAACC
This 729-nucleotide ribosomal RNA is filed under the name uncultured bacterium. RNAcentral describes it as "bacterial SSU rRNA". It matches the Rfam family "Bacterial small subunit ribosomal RNA", at positions 771 to 1501 of the family's 1533-position model. The record is from RNAcentral.